GAUGAACGCUGGCGGCGUGCCCAAUACAUGCAAGUCGAGCGAACGGACGAGAAGUUUGCUUCUCUGAUGUUAGCGGCGGCCGGGUGAGUAACACGUGGAUUACACACCUAUCAGACUGGGAUAACUUCGGGAAACCGGAGAUAAUACCGGAUAAUAUUUUGAACCGCAUGGUUAAAAAGUGAAAGAUGUUCUUGCUGCCACUUAUAGAUGGAUCCGCGAUGCAUUAGCUAGUUGGUAAGGUACCGGCUUACCAAGGCAACGAUGCAUAGCCGACCGGAGAGGGUGAUCGGCCACACUGAGACUGAGACACGGUCCAGACUCCUACGGUAUGCAGCAGUAGGGAAUCUUCCGCGAUGGGCGAAAGCCUGACGGAGCAACGCCGCGUGAGUGAUGAAGGUAUUCGGAUCGGAAAACUCUGUUAUUAGGGGAGAACAUAUUUGUAAGUAACUAUGCGCAACCUGACGUUACCUAAUCAGAAAGCCACGGCUAACUGCGUG
RNAcentral lists this ribosomal RNA (497 nucleotides) under uncultured bacterium. RNAcentral describes it as "partial 16S ribosomal RNA". It matches the Rfam family "Bacterial small subunit ribosomal RNA", at positions 28 to 507 of the family's 1533-position model. The record is from RNAcentral.